Long non-coding RNA from Cyprinodon variegatus (sheepshead minnow), 418 nucleotides. RefSeq lists it as uncharacterized. The record is from RefSeq and is a predicted model, not a curated record. Lineage: Eukaryota; Metazoa; Chordata; Actinopteri; Cyprinodontiformes; Cyprinodontidae. The transcript has 3 exons.
ACUGCCAUUUGUAACUCUGCGGUCAAUCCUUCUCCUGCGUUGUCUCCCCUGUGUGUGUUUACUCUCCCUGAAUGGCACAGCUUGUGGACAGAUUUAGCUGGCUGAAUAGUGCGCAUUUUCAAGUCAAUUUAGCUAAUCUAUCUCGCUUUUAUUGCCUCAGCGCCAGACGAAGCGCCGACAAUCCUCUCUGUUACGCCGCACACAACCACGUCGGUGCUGAUCCGCUGGCAGCCACCUCCUGAGGAGAAGAUCAAUGGAAUUUUACUGGGAUUUCGGAUUCGCUACCGUGAGCUGCUGUAUGACCGUCUCCGAAACUACAUUCACACACUGAACAGCCUUUCCUCAUGGGCCGAGCUGAACGCCCCCUACACCAUCCGGAACCUCAGCGAUCCGACUAUCAGUCAGUACGAGCUUGACA